AUUUUUUAUUGUUAUUUUAUUUUUAACUUACUUUAUAUAUUUUAUAAUUACGUUAGACUGAAUUUCAAAAAUAUAAUUACAUUAGACUUUCAUAAUUUAUUCAAUAAUAAUUAUUGUUAAAAUACUAUAUCUUUGUAAAAAAGAAAAUUAAAAAUAUAACUUAAGUAUUAUUAAACUGAUGAGUAUCAUGAGGGCAACAUGGUUGAACCACUUUCCAUGUUCCAAGGAGCAAUCACAAGAGCUAGGGCCCAGGCAUUGCAAGCACUAAUUCAAGCACAUAUUGAUCAAGUAUGGCAGCCCAACAUGCAAGGAAUUCAAGAGGAGCACAAGUGUGGCGUGUCGAUGUAAUUCGUUAUUCAAAGUGAACUGAACCAUGGUCCAGCAAAGUGAGCCAAGCCAAGGUCCAGCCAAGUGCGCCAAUCCAAACCUCUUUCAUCCCAAAGAGAUUCUAAUUCUGUCCAUUUAGCAGCCUUGCACCUUGUGAGCUUUAUCUAAGUUGGAAAGGAAAGUGAGAGACUUUUUUGUCCAAGAUAUAAAAGAAAAAACAACAUUGCCAUUUUCAGUUACAAGCAAAAGAAACUUUUGUAUUUAGAUUUGGUUUAGACUUGUAAAUGUGGUUUUUACCUAAAAUGGGGGUGAAUGUAUUUUAUCCAAUACUUGGAGAAACUCUUGGAUAAAGGCUUUAAGUGUUGGCAGAACCAUGGGCAGCCUUAUAAGGCUUUUUUCUUCAUUUUGUUAGUUCAGUUUUUGAAGAAUCUGCCAUUGUUAAGCUUACAGCUUGUAAGCUUAACAACUCAUUUGAGAGAGUUUAUGUAUGUUCUUCCUAAGUUCCACUAAGAACUUAGAUUCAAUAUAAGUUAGUUACUUAUAUUGUCUCAUUUUGAUGUCUGGUGUAAUUUGGCACAAGUUGCCCUAUUUGUAUAAGAUCCUUGACUUUCUUUUACU
This 945-nucleotide unclassified non-coding RNA is filed under the name Hevea brasiliensis (rubber tree). Lineage: Eukaryota; Viridiplantae; Streptophyta; Magnoliopsida; Malpighiales; Euphorbiaceae. The record is from RNAcentral.